Molecule: RNase P RNA, 365 nt
Filed under: Pelistega ratti
Lineage: Bacteria; Pseudomonadati; Pseudomonadota; Betaproteobacteria; Burkholderiales; Alcaligenaceae
Description: Bacterial RNase P class A
Rfam family: Bacterial RNase P class A
About the family: Ribonuclease P (RNase P) is a ubiquitous endoribonuclease, found in archaea, bacteria and eukarya as well as chloroplasts and mitochondria. Its best characterised activity is the generation of mature 5'-ends of tRNAs by cleaving the 5'-leader elements of precursor-tRNAs. Cellular RNase Ps are ribonucleoproteins.
Source: Rfam by way of RNAcentral
AAAGCAAGCUGGGCAAUCGCGAGUAAUCGAGGAAAGUCCGGACUCCAUAGAGCAAGGUAGCGGCUAACAGCCGUCCAUUCAGCGAUGAAUGAGGAAUAGGGCCACAGAGACGAGUUUACUAUGUGGGCUUAAUGAUUUUGGUCUUUAGGCUCUGGUACGGUUAGUUCCGUAUGGCGUUAUAUUUAUAACAGCAUAGUAAGGUGAAACGCGGUAACCUCUAUCUGGAGCAACAUCAAAUAGGCAUAUGGGCUGCUCGUCCUAUGUAUGCGGGUAGAUGGCUUGAACUUUAUAGUAAUAUAAAGUCUAGAGGAAUGAUUGCCGACCUUUUAGGUUUACAUAAUCCGGCUUAUAGGCUUGCUUUGUCU